This 1244-nucleotide ribosomal RNA is filed under the name metagenome. Its description in RNAcentral is "bacterial LSU rRNA". It matches the Rfam family "Bacterial large subunit ribosomal RNA", at positions 1564 to 2818 of the family's 2925-position model. The record is from RNAcentral.
UGAAUACGAGAUGCUACGGCGUCGAAGCAGUCUAUGUCAUACUUCCAAGAAAAGCUUGCACUGUCAUAAACAAAUAAUGCCUGUACCAUAACCGACACAGGUGGGUAGGUAGAGUAUACUAAGGGGCGCGAGAUAACUCUCUCUAAGGAACUCGGCAAAAUGACUCCGUAACUUCGGGAGAAGGAGUGCCUUAUUUAUAAGGUUGCAAUAACAAGACCCAAGCAACUGUUUAUCAAAAACACAGGUCUCCGCUAAGUCGUAAGACGAUGUAUGGGGGCUGACGCCUGCCCAGUGCCAGAAGGUUAAAGAAGUUGGUUAGCAUUAGCGAAGCUGAUGACUGAAGCCCUGGUGAACGGCGGCCGUAACAAUAACGGUCCUAAGGUAGCGAAAUUCCUUGUCGGGUAAGUUCCGACCCGCACGAAAGGCGUAAUGAUUUGGGUACUGUCUCAGAGAGGGACUCGGUGAAAUAGACUUGUCUGUGAAGAUGCGGACUACCUGCACCUGGACAGAAAGACCCUAUGAAGCUUUACUGUAACCUGAAAUUGAAAUUGGACUUUAUUUGCGCAGUAUAGGUGGGAGGCUUUGAAGAUAUUCUUGCGGGAAUGUUGGAGCCAUCAGUGAGAUACCACUCUUGUAAUGUUAGAUUUCUAACUUUGUAUCAUUAUCUGGUCAAAGAACAGUUUCAGGCGGGCAGUUUGACUGGGGCGGUCGCCUCCUAAACGGUAACGGAGGCGCACAAAGGUUUCCUCUGAACGGGUAGAAAUCGUAUCUAGAGUGUAAAGGCAUAAGGAAGCUUGACUGUGAGACCUACAAGUCGAGCAGGGACGAAAGUCGGUCUUAGUGAUCUGACGGUGCUGAGUGGAAAGGCCGUCACUCAACGGAUAAAAGUUACUCUAGGAUAACAGGCUGAUCUCCCCCAAGAGUUCACAUCGACGGGGAGGUUUGGCACCUCGAUGUCGGCUCAUCGCAUCCUGGGGCGGUAGUACGUCCCAAGGGUUGGGCUGUUCGCCCAUGAAAGCGGUACGCGAGCUGGGUUCAGAACGUCGUGAGACAGUUCGGUCCAUAUCCGGUGUAGGCGUUAGAAUAUUGAGAGGAGCCUUCUCUAGUACGAGAGGACCGAGAAGGACACACCUCUGGUGUACCAGUUAUCGUGCCAACGGUAAACGCUGGGUAGCUAUGUGUGGAGCGGAUAACCGCUGAAAGCAUCUAAGUGGGAAGCCCACCUCAAGAUAAGUAUUCUCAUG